This 1192-nucleotide long non-coding RNA is filed under the name Homo sapiens (human). Its description in RNAcentral is "HSALNT0322791". Lineage: Eukaryota; Metazoa; Chordata; Mammalia; Primates; Hominidae. The record is from RNAcentral.
AGUAGAGAGUGGUGGAGAGAAAGAGAGAAGGUCAGAGAGGUCAGUAAAGUCCAGACCAUGCACAGCUUCAGGUCAGGUGAAGAAUGGGAAGCUAUUGGCAGAUUUUAAGCAGGGGAAUGUCAUGAUCUAAUGUUUUCAAAAGACCACUCUAGCAGGAGUGUGGUGGAGUGAGAGUGGGUGUGGGAAGAGCAGUUAUAUGACCAUUUAAGCGAUCUUAGCAGACAUGAUGGCAGCUCUGCAAUGAAGACCAGGAGAUGAACACGGGAUACAUUUUGGAGUUGUAGCUGAUCGGGCAUACUGAUGGAUUAGAGGGGGGUAGCAGUAAGCAAGUGGUUGAUGCUGUUAGCUGGGACUCAACUGGGGCUAUCUGCCAGAACUCACACAUGUGGUCUCCUCAUGUGGCAUGGACUCCCUCACAUCAUGGCAACCUAAGACUUCUUAUAUAGCAGCUCCAGGCUCCAAAGGGGUCUUUGAAGAGUUCACCCAGGAGCUUCAAAAUGAGGAACAGUGCUUGCAAUUUCCUUGAAUACUAAGAACAUCCAGCUAUUUGUAGACAGAUAAAAGAGAGCAGCCCCCAGAGGUGCUGAUCCAGCCAAGAUAGCUCAUCCAGUUCUCAACAGGACUAAAGGACUUAUCCUAUGCCUAGUUUUUCACUCCCCUCAGAGGGUCAGGUGAACUGGGGAGCAAGAGGAACUGGCGCCUUUCCCUACUUCUCUUUCAAUUCGUUUAUUGAGGUAACUGCACUGGGGAAAAGAUUAUAUCCAAAACUUUUGGAUUGCUCGACAUUAGAUGUUAACUCUGAGCUAAUACUAAUUUCCAGGGACCCAGAAUGAACUUAUCAAUGGAUAUCAGGAAUGGAGAUGACACAUGAAUAAGCACAGUAACAAGGAUUUCCCCUCACCAGGAUGACGUGGCCUUUGCCAUUGCUGAGAACCCAUUUUGCACGCAAUGGUAUGCCUACCAUUUAAUGCUAACAAAGAUGAUACUUCCCAUUCCUUUCUUUCCUGCUCAAGAACAUGUUGAUAUACUAAUCUUGAAGCAGAAGAAACCAAGUUUUGAGGUGUUUUUGAAGUCAAAGUCUCCAAACUAUGAUUCUUGCUCACAAGUUGACCAACACAAUGAAAAUUGUUGCAAAAAUGUAAUCUUUAGUGAAAAAAACUGUCUGGGAGCCAUCUUGGCCAUAGCAUCCUGA